This 465-nucleotide ribosomal RNA is filed under the name Enterobacter sp. Its description in RNAcentral is "bacterial SSU rRNA". It matches the Rfam family "Bacterial small subunit ribosomal RNA", at positions 337 to 792 of the family's 1533-position model. The record is from RNAcentral. Lineage: Bacteria; Pseudomonadati; Pseudomonadota; Gammaproteobacteria; Enterobacterales; Enterobacteriaceae.
UCUUACGGGGUGGAGCAGUGGGGAAUAUUGCACAAUGGGCGCAAGCCUGAUGCAGCCAUGCCGCGUGUAUGAAGAAGGCCUUCGGGUUGUAAAGUACUUUCAGCGGGGAGGAAGGCGAUAAGGUUAAUAACCUUGUCGAUUGACGUUACCCGCAGAAGAAGCACCGGCUAACUCCGUGCCAGCAGCCGCGGUAAUACGGAGGGUGCAAGCGUUAAUCGGAAUUACUGGGCGUAAAGCGCACGCAGGCGGUCUGUCAAGUCGGAUGUGAAAUCCCCGGGCUCAACCUGGGAACUGCAUUCGAAACUGGCAGGCUAGAGUCUUGUAGAGGGGGGUAGAAUUCCAGGUGUAGCGGUGAAAUGCGUAGAGAUCUGGAGGAAUACCGGUGGCGAAGGCGGCCCCCUGGACAAAGACUGACGCUCAGGUGCGAAAGCAGUGGGGAGCAAACAGGAUUAGUACCCCCUGGUA